RNAcentral lists this ribosomal RNA (491 nucleotides) under uncultured rumen bacterium. RNAcentral's name for it is "bacterial SSU rRNA". It matches the Rfam family "Bacterial small subunit ribosomal RNA", at positions 46 to 535 of the family's 1533-position model. The record is from RNAcentral.
GCUUACACAUGCAAGUCGAACGGAGUGUGCUUUUGAAAUUCCUUCGGGAACGGAUGUUGUACACUUAGUGGCGGACGGGUGAGUAACGCGUGAGCAACCUGCCUUUCAGAGGGGGAUAACACAACGAAAGCUGUGCUAAUACCGCAUGACAUUGCUUUAUCGCAUGGUGAGGCAAUCAAAGGAGCAAUCCGCUGAAAGAUGGGCUCGCGUCCGAUUAGAUAGUUGGCGGGGUAACGGCCCACCAAGUCGACGAUCGGUAGCCGGACUGAGAGGUUGGCCGGCCACAUUGGGACUGAGACACGGCCCAGACUCCUACGGGAGGCAGCAGUGGGGGAUAUUGCACAAUGGGCGAAAGCCUGAUGCAGCGACGCCGCGUGAGGGAAGAAGGUCUUCGGAUUGUAAACCUUUGUCCUAUGGGAAGAUAAUGACGGUACCAUGGGGGGAAGCCACGGCUAACUACGUGCCAGCAGCCGCGGUAAUACGUANGUGGC